RNAcentral lists this transfer RNA (74 nucleotides) under Eggerthellaceae bacterium. RNAcentral describes it as "tRNA-Gly". It matches the Rfam family "tRNA". From Rfam's summary of the family: Transfer RNA (tRNA) molecules are approximately 80 nucleotides in length. Their secondary structure includes four short double-helical elements and three loops (D, anti-codon, and T loops). Further hydrogen bonds mediate the characteristic L-shaped molecular structure. tRNAs have two regions of fundamental functional importance: the anti-codon, which is responsible for specific mRNA codon recognition, and the 3' end, to which the tRNAs corresponding amino acid is attached (by aminoacyl-tRNA synthetases). tRNAs cope with the degeneracy of the genetic code in two manners: having more than one tRNA (with a specific anti-codon) for a particular amino acid; and 'wobble' base-pairing, i.e. permitting non-standard base-pairing at the 3rd anti-codon position. Lineage: Bacteria; Bacillati; Actinomycetota; Coriobacteriia; Eggerthellales; Eggerthellaceae. The record is from RNAcentral.
GCGGGCGUAGUUCAAUGGUAGAACCGGAGCCUUCCAAGCUCCUGACGCGGGUUCGAUUCCCGUCGCCCGCUCCA